Molecule: RNase P RNA, 191 nt
Filed under: Lachnospiraceae bacterium
Lineage: Bacteria; Bacillati; Bacillota; Clostridia; Lachnospirales; Lachnospiraceae
Description: partial RNase P RNA component class A
Rfam family: Bacterial RNase P class A
About the family: Ribonuclease P (RNase P) is a ubiquitous endoribonuclease, found in archaea, bacteria and eukarya as well as chloroplasts and mitochondria.
Source: RNAcentral
GCAGUGUAAGAGACUACCGCUGAGCCCGGUAACGGGACAGGCAGUGCAAGCCCCAUCCGAAGCAAGGUCAAGUACGAGACGAUACAGCGGCCCGUUGUGUCUCGUGGUAGACCGCUUGAGCUGUCCGGCAACGGGCAGUCUAGACAGAUGACCGUACACGACAGAACCCGGCUUACAGCCCGGCCGCUUUU